RNAcentral lists this long non-coding RNA (1096 nucleotides) under Papio anubis (olive baboon). RNAcentral's name for it is "lncRNA (ENSPANG00000044755.1)". Lineage: Eukaryota; Metazoa; Chordata; Mammalia; Primates; Cercopithecidae. The record is from RNAcentral.
CUGGGACUACAGCAGCGUGUGCCUGAGAAAGUGUCGGAGCCUUUACCUCGACCUUCCCGUGAAAAAGGGAACAGAAUAGUCAACGGAAAAGGAGAAGAUUCCACUUCUGCAAGGCUCCACAGAAGUCUCCAACCUUCAAAUCUUCAGUCUCUGAAAGCACCGAUUCCUGAAAGGAUGGCCUCAAAUGACCAAGUAUACGAGCCGUCUAUAUCCCUGCUCCUGAAAAACAAGCUAACUGGACUCUCCAUCACCUGCCCCCAGCACAGAUGCACUACCAGCUACCCAGCUGAACUCCAUGACUGACUUGCCAUCCAAUCAUGCCCCUGACCCAGCCUACAUGAACAAGGGAAGGAACAUCAGCGAAUUAGGAAAAGAGGCAGAGGUGAGGAGACCACCUGUCCUGGGCCACAGAGCUAUGUAGAGUUCAGCAAUCUCUAGCCCCUUAGUAUUCCAGGGGCUCUAAACCACCUUCUGUAAGUCAGGAUGGAAGUAGAUGGUGCCACGAAGAUUUCUCUCUGCUGUAGCCACUCCUUCAGUGUCUCAAAAUGUUUUAACAUCUUUCAGUAAAAAUCUGUCAGUCCUUGAUAAAUUUUUAAAAAAAAGGCAGCAAAGUUUUUAGAGCUCCCUUGAACCUUCUAUUUUAAGGCGCCUUUGUAGAUAAUUCCCAACAUUCUGUGUGUCGGUCAUCUUUGGAAUUUAUCGAUCGAUCAUUGUUUCUCUUCAAACUUGGCCUUGCCCUGCCCAUUCCAUUCUUACCCGCUUUCAUUGGCUUCACUAGUCAAUUCCACACUCAUUCUAGACACUGGGUGCACGAGACUCACUCCCGUUUGUAUUACCAAAACUCAGGCCAAUAGGAUAUAAAAAGUAGGAAGAAUACUGGGAUUUAACAUGAGUACAAAUCUCAUUUCUUCCAAUUCCUAUGUCUUCUUGAAUCCUAAUCUUUCUGAGACUCAAGUUUUCUAUCUAAACGAUCCUUUGACCAGAAUGUUCAACAGACGUGACAAUACUAGAACGUGUUUUAAUUCAUUCUAAGAUUCCUUAAAAUUCUGUAAUUCUAUGUGCUUCUGAUUCUGGGAAUACAUAGCCAGCAGAAUUU